UGCAGAAUCCCGUGAACCAUCGAGUCUUUGAGCGCAAGUUGCGCCCGAAGCCUCUAGGCCGAGGGCACGCCUGCCUGGGCGUCA
RNAcentral lists this ribosomal RNA (84 nucleotides) under Crataegus monogyna. RNAcentral describes it as "partial 5.8S ribosomal RNA". It matches the Rfam family "5.8S ribosomal RNA", at positions 73 to 154 of the family's 154-position model. Rfam says of the family: 5.8S ribosomal RNA (5.8S rRNA) is a component of the large subunit of the eukaryotic ribosome. Lineage: Eukaryota; Viridiplantae; Streptophyta; Magnoliopsida; Rosales; Rosaceae. The record is from RNAcentral.